Molecule: ribosomal RNA, 495 nt
Filed under: uncultured bacterium
Lineage: Bacteria
Description: partial 16S ribosomal RNA
Rfam family: Bacterial small subunit ribosomal RNA
Source: RNAcentral
GACGAACGCUGGCGGCGUGCCUAAUACAUGCAAGUAGAACGCUGAAGGAGGAGCUUGCUUCUCUGGAUGAGUUGCGAACGGGUGAGUAACGCGUAGGUAACCUGCCUGGUAGCGGGGGAUAACUAUUGGAAACGAUAGCUAAUACCGCAUAAUAGUAGAUGUUGCAUGACAUUUGCUUAAAAGGUGCAAUUGCAUCACUACCAGAUGGACCUGCGUUGUAUUAGCUAGUUGGUGGGGUAACGGCUCACCAAGGCGACGAUACAUAGCCGACCUGAGAGGGUAAUCGGCCACACUGGGACUGAGACACGGCCCAGACUCCUACGGGAGGCAGCAGUAGGGAAUCUUCGGCAAUGGACGGAAGUCUGACCGAGCAACGCCGCGUGAGUGAAGAAGGUUUUCGGAUCGUAAAGCUCUGUUGUAAGAGAAGAACGAGUGUGAGAGUGGAAAGUUCACACUGUGACGGUAUCUUACCAGAAAGGGACGGCUAACUACGUG